Talpa occidentalis (Iberian mole) is the source of this 333-nucleotide long non-coding RNA. RefSeq lists it as uncharacterized. NCBI's taxonomy places the organism in Eukaryota, Metazoa, Chordata, Mammalia, Eulipotyphla, Talpidae. The transcript is spliced from 4 exons. The record is from RefSeq and is a predicted model, not a curated record.
CUCCUGGGUAAAGGACCAGUCACCUCUAAUUUGCGUGAGUUCGGGGUUGUUUUCUAAAUGCUGCCUAUGUCUGAAGAAAUCUGAACAAAAGAACUUGGGGAUUUGGGAGGCCCCAGGAGCUGAGAAAUCAAGAGCCCUAUCCUUGCUGUGCUGUCUGCCACUCUUCAGAAGAGGUUCUGCAUGACCCCUCAUCCAGUCCCUCUGCUGCUAGGAGUUGUCACAUUUUAUCAAGGAAGGAGCUCCAUUAACGCGAGCGUUUGGGGAAAAAAACAAAAACACUAAUCACCAUCCGAAAUGUACAUGCUAUUUCCCAUCUGGUGUGUGGAAUUGGAU